GAUGAACGCUAGCGGCAGGCUUAAUACAUGCAAGUCGAGGGGCAUCAAGGUACACGAAAGUGUAUUGUUGGCGACCGGCGGACGGGUGAGUAAUAGGUAGGUAACCUACCUCAUACUGAGGCAUAGCUGGGAGAAAUUCCAGGUAAUUCCUCAUGAGGUUAUAUGACACAUGUGAUAUAAUCAAAGGUAUCGCAAGGUACUGGUAUGAGAUGGGCUUACUGACCAUUAGCUAGUUGGUGAGAUAAGAGCUCACCAAGGCGAAGAUGGUUAGGGGUUUUGAGAGAGAGAUCCCCCACAUUGGAACUGAGAUACGGUCCAGACUCCUACGGGAGGCAGCAGUAGGGAAUAUUGGGCAAUGGGCGGAAGCCUGACCCAGCCAUGCCGCGUGAAGGAAGACGGCCUUAUGGGUUGUAAACUUCUUUACUAUGCGACUAACUAGAUUUACGAGAUAAUUCCAUAGAAUGUAGCAUAGCAAAAGCACCGG
RNAcentral lists this ribosomal RNA (484 nucleotides) under uncultured bacterium. RNAcentral's name for it is "bacterial SSU rRNA". It matches the Rfam family "Bacterial small subunit ribosomal RNA", at positions 28 to 496 of the family's 1533-position model. The record is from RNAcentral.